ACUCAGCUACAAAUUCUUAAAUAUCAUUGAUUAAGAUAAGAAUCAAAAUAAUAAUCAACAGUAUGCAUUCUAAAAGACACAUAACAAUCACCCUUACGCUAUUUCCCAAAAUCGAAUCUUUUACCAUAUUCAUUUCUUUCAUCAUUUUACCUUUCCUACCGGUGUUGUUUUGGGGGGUCCACAGGGGACCCACUACAUGUGGACACGAACAUUCAUUCUAAAAACAACGGUCGUCCUCAUACCCUGUCCAGUAAUGGGCGCCAAAACACACAAUCCCCUUAAUACCUCGUAUGAUGAACGUAAUUAAAAUAAUUCCCAACUCCUUCCGGUAUGAAACUUCUUAGUCUCGUACAACUGAGGAUAACAUUCAC
RNAcentral lists this long non-coding RNA (371 nucleotides) under Carica papaya (papaya). Its description in RNAcentral is "long non-coding RNA (CPAP_LNC006555)". The record is from RNAcentral. Lineage: Eukaryota; Viridiplantae; Streptophyta; Magnoliopsida; Brassicales; Caricaceae.